RNAcentral lists this ribosomal RNA (423 nucleotides) under uncultured bacterium. RNAcentral's name for it is "bacterial SSU rRNA". It matches the Rfam family "Bacterial small subunit ribosomal RNA", at positions 358 to 773 of the family's 1533-position model. The record is from RNAcentral.
AGAAUAAUUCACAAUGGGCGAAAGCCUGAUGGUGCAACGCCGCGUGGAGGAUGACGGUCUUCGGAUUGUAAACUCCUGUCAUCGGGGAGUAAGACCUGGCGGUGAAUAGCCGACAGGGUUGAUAGUACCCGAAGAGGAAGGGACGGCUAACUUCGUGCUAGCCACCGCGGUCAUACGAAGGUCCCGAGCGUUGUUCGGAAUCACUGGGAGUAAAGGGAGCGUAGGCGGUUGGGUAAGUCAGAUGUGAAAUCCCGGGGCUCAACCCCGGAACUGCAUCCGAUACUGCCUGACUUGAGUAAUGGAGGGGUAGCUGGAAUUCUCGGUGUAGCAGUGAAAUGCGUGGAUAUCGAGAGGAACACUCGUGGCGAAGGCGAGCUACUGGACAUUUACUGACGCUGAGGCUCGAAGGCCAGGGGAGCAAAA